AGCCUGAUCCAGCCAUGCCGCGUGGGUGAUGAAGGCCCUAGGGUUGUAAAGCCCUUUCGGCGGGGAAGAUAAUGACGGUACCCGCAGAAGAAGCCCCGGCUAACUUCGUGCCAGCACCGCGGUAAUA
This 127-nucleotide ribosomal RNA is filed under the name uncultured Alphaproteobacteria bacterium. RNAcentral describes it as "partial 16S ribosomal RNA". It matches the Rfam family "Bacterial small subunit ribosomal RNA", at positions 380 to 525 of the family's 1533-position model. The record is from RNAcentral. Lineage: Bacteria; Pseudomonadati; Pseudomonadota; Alphaproteobacteria.